UCCUUUUUGUUUAUACACAAAUGUGUCCAGAUACAAAUCAUAAUUUGAAUUUAAUUAAAUUUUAACUUUUAUACUGUUAACCAGUCGUGAGUUUGAAUAUUUUUCAAUUGAAAAGACAAUAUUGCUUUGUUUACUAGCUAUAUAACAUCAAAGUAUGUCCAUCGCGGGUGCCUUGAUCAUUGAAGUGUUUUUCAAGGUUGCUUAAGCUAAGGAUCUUCUUUGGAGAUAAUUUCUCUAGCUCCGUGAGAUUAAAGCAUAGAAACGAUCCUCAAAUUAUGAAGAAGUUGUGACAAAAGCAUUCUAAGGACAAGAAAAAAAAGUAGUUCUAAGAAAAGGAGAUCCAACAGAAAGUAAAGCUCCUGCCAAGAGAAGAAAAAUUGUUGAAGCAAUUUUCAGAGAUGAACUUCCCAAGGUAAUUGCAUGUUCAAAUCUAUUGAAUGUUGGGCCGAGAUACAUAUUUUGGGUUGCAUGAUACGUUGAGAAUUUCAUUGUUUAUCUGUUUUUUUUUUUGUUGCUAAGUUAUUUGUAUCUUGUGUAUUUUAUUUUUUAUUGAAAUUAAUAUAACAAAAUACAAGUUCAUAAAUACAUAGAUACAUGUUAAGUGAACUUGUAUAUGUGAGUAAUUAUUAAUGC
This is a long non-coding RNA of Capsicum annuum, 633 nucleotides long. RefSeq lists it as uncharacterized. The transcript has 3 exons. The record is from RefSeq and is a predicted model, not a curated record. NCBI's taxonomy places the organism in Eukaryota, Viridiplantae, Streptophyta, Magnoliopsida, Solanales, Solanaceae.